Molecule: transfer RNA, 66 nt
Filed under: Fascioloides magna
Lineage: Eukaryota; Metazoa; Platyhelminthes; Trematoda; Plagiorchiida; Fasciolidae
Description: tRNA-Met
Source: RNAcentral
GAGAGGGGUAAGUUAAAGACUAAACUAUAUGGUUCAUGUUCAUAAAAUACAGCUUUGUUCCCUCUU